CCUACGGGUGGCAGCAGUGGGGAAUAUUGGACAAUGGGGGCAACCCUGAUCCAGCCAUGCCGCGUGUGUGAAGAAGGCCCUCAGGUUGUAAAGCACUUUCAGUGAGGAAGAACGCCUGGUAGUUAAUACCCAUCAGGAAAGACAUCACUCACAGAAGAAGCACCGGCUAACUCCGUGCCAGCAGCCGCGGUAAUACGGAGGGUGCGAGCGUUAAUCGGAAUUACUGGGCGUAAAGCGCGCGUAGGUGGCUUGAUAAGCCGGUUGUGAAAGCCCCGGGCUCAACCUGGGAACGGCAUCCGGAACUGUCAAGCUAGAGUGCACGAGCGGAAGGUAGAAUUCCCGGUGUAGCGGUGAAAUGCGUAGAGAUCGGGAGGAAUACCAGUGGCGAAGGCGGCCUUCUGGACUGACACUGACACUGAGGUGCGAAAGCGUGGGUAGCAAACAGGAUUAGAUACCCGAGUAGUC
Molecule: ribosomal RNA, 465 nt
Filed under: Vreelandella stevensii
Lineage: Bacteria; Pseudomonadati; Pseudomonadota; Gammaproteobacteria; Oceanospirillales; Halomonadaceae
Description: partial 16S ribosomal RNA
Rfam family: Bacterial small subunit ribosomal RNA
Source: RNAcentral